RNAcentral lists this long non-coding RNA (1026 nucleotides) under Dromaius novaehollandiae (emu). Its description in RNAcentral is "lncRNA (ENSDNVG00000000686.1)". The record is from RNAcentral. Lineage: Eukaryota; Metazoa; Chordata; Aves; Casuariiformes; Dromaiidae.
GGGCCCCAGCAGGGCCUGCCGGGCUGGCUGAGCGCUGCCCUACCAGCACGUUGAGGUCAGGGCUUCAGGGCUGGGCACGUGAGCUGGGAACGCCUGCUUGGCAGGGCCGUGUCCUUGCUGCAGUUCUGCUAUCGGGYCCUCACCGGGGGCUUUUGUCAGCACAGGCAAUGCCGUGGCGGUGCAACAAGGAGUCAGAAAUGCUCAGCCAUGAGCCUCCGUGAGGAGCAUGAACAUCCACCCCCAGGUGAGGAGCGUCAGACCAUGCAGGAGCUGCAGGAACUCUCAGAGGAGCCCAAGCAGGGCUGUCUGGGAUGGCCAGUGCAAACGCCCCUGCAUUGCCCCAGCACCGGCUCUCGGACGCUGCCGCCUGCGCGCAGAGCCUGGGACAGCGUGUCCAGCAGCAGGGGCUGCGUCCCGGCCCCCCUCACCCCCGCGGGGACCUCGGAGGCGCUUCCUGGUGAGUCUGGGGGCAUUUUCCCCUGGUGCCUUCUCCCUAAGGAGCCUGGGGGGGUUGUGUCACUGGUGAGUAACAGCUCCAGCCUCACUGCCUGUCUCUGUGUCCUGGCCAGGGGCUGCCGACACUGCGCGACGGCCUCGCACCUCCUUUCUGCGCUCUGCAGCGAAGCUGGGAGCACCACGGCGCAGAGAGGCAGCGUGAGGUUUGUUUCCUCCCGGACAGAAGCCGCCCGGCUCCCUGCUCGCAGCAGGACGAUGCCUCCGCUCGCCUCCUGCCCUGCGCGGGGCCCUGCUCCUGGCUGGGGACAACCUGCCUGCGCCCGCCUGGCUCUGGGCCUCCUUGGGAACCCUGCUGGGAGCACAGCAGGGGCUCCUCACAGCUCAGCUCUGGCUCCUUAGGGCUUGGCCUCAUUACAGCAGUGGUGGUGACUGACAAGGUCGUAAAUCAAUCACUGUCACAGCUUGCAUAUUAAUAUCAUAGUUUAAUAUUCCAUACAUAUUGCACAGUUAGUUUAUUAACAGUGUACAUACUCCAUGCACACAUUGAAUAAAGAGUCCCAGUCUUGUACA